AACACAUGCAAGUCGCACGGUCAGCAAUGGCAGUGGCGGACGGGUGAGUAACACGUAGGAAUCUAUCCUGGGGUGGGGGACAACAGCGGGAAACUGCUGCUAAUACCGCAUGAUACCUGAGGGUCAAAGGCGCAAGUCGCCUUGGGAGGAGCCUGCGUCUGAUUAGCUAGUUGGUGGGGUAAAGGCCUACCAAGGCGACGAUCAGUAGCUGGUCUGAGAGGAUGAUCAGCCACAUUGGGACUGAGACACGGCCCAAACUCCUACGGGAGGCAGCAGUGGGGAAUAUUGGACAAUGGGGGCAACCCUGAUCCAGCAAUGCCGCGUGUGUGAAGAAGGUCUUCGGAUUGUAAAGCACUUUUGGCAGGGACGAUGAUGACGGUACCUGCAGAAUAAGCCCCGGCUAACUUCGUGCCAGCAGCCGCGGUAAUGCGAAGGGGGCUAGCGUUGCUCGGAAUGACUGGGCGUAAAGGGCGCGUAGGCGGCAUGUACAGUCAGAAGUGAAAUUCCUGGGCUCAACCUGGGGACUGCUUUUGAUACGUGCAAGCUAGAGUGAGGAAGAGGGUUGUGGAAUUUCCAGUGUAGAGGUGAAAUUCGUAGAUAUUGGAAAGAACACCGGUGGCGAAGGCGGCAACCUGGUCCUUUACUGACGCUGAGGCGCGAAAGCGUGGGGAGCAAACAGGAUUAGAUACCCUGGUAGUCCACGCUGUAAACGAUGUGUGCUGGAUGUUGGAAAACUUAGUUUUUCAGUGUCGUAGCUAACGCGAUAAGCACACCGCCUGGGGAGUACGGCCGCAAGGUUGAAACUCAAGGAAUUGACGGGGGCCCGCACAAGCGGUGGAGCAUGUGGUUUA
Molecule: ribosomal RNA, 851 nt
Filed under: uncultured bacterium
Lineage: Bacteria
Description: bacterial SSU rRNA
Rfam family: Bacterial small subunit ribosomal RNA
Source: RNAcentral